This 480-nucleotide ribosomal RNA is filed under the name Cemophora coccinea (scarlet snake). RNAcentral's name for it is "partial 16S ribosomal RNA". It matches the Rfam family "Bacterial large subunit ribosomal RNA", at positions 1809 to 2607 of the family's 2925-position model. Lineage: Eukaryota; Metazoa; Chordata; Lepidosauria; Squamata; Colubridae. The record is from RNAcentral.
AAAAACAUAACCUUUAGCCAAACAAAUAUUAAAGGCAACGCCUGCCCAGUGAAUAAUUAAACGGCCGCGGUACCCUAACCGUGCAAAGGUAGCGUAAUCAUUUGUCUACUAAUUAUAGACCUGUAUGAAAGGCAAAAUGAGGGUUUAACUGUCUCUUAUAAUAAAUCAAUUAAACUGAUCUCCUAGUAAAAAAGCUAGGAUAAUAACAUAAGACCAGAAGACCCUGUGAAGCUUAAAUCAAACUAUUAAACCAUAUAAUAACUACUUUCGGUUGGGGCGACCUUGGAAAAAAAAAGAACUUCCAAGACCCAGCACAGCUGAUAAUUGAACCAAGUUACUCCAGGGAUAACAGCGCAAUCUUCUUCAAGAGCCCAUAUCAAAAAGAAGGUUUACGACCUCGAUGUUGGAUCAGGACAUCCUAAUGGUGCAGCCGCUAUUAAGGGUUCGUUUGUUCAACGAUUAACAGUCCUACGUGAUCUG